Non-coding RNA from Camelina sativa (false flax), 2088 nucleotides. Lineage: Eukaryota; Viridiplantae; Streptophyta; Magnoliopsida; Brassicales; Brassicaceae. The record is from RefSeq and is a predicted model, not a curated record.
UUGUCGAUUUAUGUGAGUUGUGUGGUAGAUUGUGUGGGAACUUGUGCAAUGCUUUCGAGCUAGCGCACAUAUCAAAUAUUGCUUGUUAGGAUUUCAUGCUAGAUUUUAAUCUUAAGAAUUAAUAAGAAUGAUAUCGAAUCUAUUGCAUGCAUAAUCGAAAAUGAAAGAUUCUCGAACAUGUUUACUUGAUGUUUCAAUGAUUCUAUUUCAUCUCGACUGAUUAUUCUAGAUUUUUAAUCUUAGGAAUUGCUAAGAAUGAUAUUGAAUCUAUUGCAUGCAUACUCGAAAAUGAAAGAUUUUCGAACAUGUUUACUUGAUACUUCAUUGAUUCUAUUACUCGAAAAUGAAAGAUUUUCGAACAUGUUUCUCUCUCUCUCUCUCUCUCUCUCUCUCUCUUCCCUCUCAACGGAAUCGGCGAUUCACACCUCAAAUCCUAAUCAAUCGAUUCACCUUGAAUCAAUUGAUUUUUCUGGCUUAAACUCGAGAGUUCUUGGUUUCUGACACCGAUUUUUGUUUGGAUUAGCUUCCAGUCGAUCGAUAUUCCUCUGGAUCUUCAAGUGCGAUAACGACGGCAGAUGGUGACUGUGAUGGCUUUAAGGGAACGGCGAGGUCCACGGGCGAGCAAUUCAGAAAAAGGAGCAAUUAAAAUCGGUGAGAGAGGAGAUCCAUGUUUCAUCGUUGUUCAAUCACCCUAAUUUGCUUCCACUUCUUGAUCAUGCCAUUAGCUCUGUUAAAGUAGGACGGCCCAGAGGGAGCUUGGAAACAUGGUAACGUGCUAUUAACGCGUAGAAAAGGACAGCCUCCUCUUGCUGAUCUUUGGGAGUGCUCGCCCAUCAUGAAAAUCUACAGGGAAAGAUACAAACGGUUUCCAUACUGUUCCCAACAUAAAGCUUCUAGACUUGUAUGAAUUUGAAACCUUUUAGGACGCUGAAGAAUGCCACCAAAGUUGCCUCCACAGUUGUUCUUGCUUGGCUUUUGCUUAUAUCAAUGGAAUAGGUUGCUUAAUGUGGAACCAAAUCCUUCGCUAAGUUUUCUAAGGCCAGAAUCAAAGAAAGGGUGGGCUGAAUUUUUUUAUUUUAUUUUGGAGUUUUGUUUAUGGAACAACGGAAAAAAACAAAAAUGCACACACUCUCUACUCGAACGGCUGUAUGUGGCUCAUGAAUAACUCUGUUUCUACCACUAGACCAAAGAAACAAUUUAGAGAAAUAGACAGAAUUUUGCUUAUAAUAUAUAGGGCCGCAGGCUGAUGCUUCAUUGAAUUGGUCCAUCGGCCGGCUCUGUGUGGAACCAAGACCUAAUAGACACUGUGCAGUUAUCUCCAGGAGGAGAAAUUAUUUCCAUUCGUCUUGCACGUUCUCAAAUGGAAAUGAGCGUAACAAGAUUACUACUGCUAGUAUUGUGAGCCUUUCUCUUUUCGUGAUAAUGGCUUCUGCUAUGUUUGGUUUCUGGAGAUACAGAGUAAAACAUAAUGCUAAUAGAUCAAAGGAUGCUGCUUCCCAAGAUACAUGGAAGAAUGAGCUGAACCCACAAGAUGUCCCAGGUUUAAAUUUCUUUGAGAUAAAGACCAUUCAAACGACCACCAAUAAUUUCAGUCUCACAAAUAAACUUGAAAAGGUGGAUUUGGCCCAGCUUAUAAGGGAAAGCUUCAAGAUGGGAAAUAAAUUGCUGUAAAAAGGCUUUAUAGCAGCUCGUGACAGGGGAAAGAAGAGUUCAUGAAAACAAUAGUACUCAUCUCAAAACUUCAACAUAAAAACUUAUUUCGGAUUUUGGAUGUUGCAUUCAAGGAGAAGAGAAGUUAUUAAUUACGAGUUCAUGUUUAACAAAAGCCUUGAUACUUUUCUCUUCGAAAAAAGCUUGAAAUUGAUUGGCCAAAGAGAUUUGAUAUCAUUCAAGGUAUUGCCUGUGGAAUUCACUAUCUCCAUCGUGACUCACGCCUCAAGGUAAUUCACCAAGAUCUGAAGGUUAGCAACAUUCUUCUAGAUGAGAAGAUGAAUCCAAAGAUAUCAUACUUUGAAUUGGUUCGGAUGUAUAAGGGAACUGAAUAUCAGGAAAAUACUUGCAAGGUUGUAACAACUCUGUAAGAACCAU